This 293-nucleotide unclassified non-coding RNA is filed under the name fungal sp. Its description in RNAcentral is "partial internal transcribed spacer region". The stretch from base 1 to 46 matches the Rfam family "Eukaryotic small subunit ribosomal RNA", at positions 1786 to 1831 of the family's 1831-position model. The record is from RNAcentral. Lineage: Eukaryota; Fungi.
AAGUCGUAACAAGGUUUCCGUAGGUGAACCUGCGGAAGGAUCAUUAAUGAAAGAUAAUUUUUUGGGGUUUUCCCUGAAAAAUAAUUCACCCAUUGUGCACUGUUAUUAGAUAUACUUUGGUUAGAGCUUUGAUUUCAUUUUUUUUGAAGUCAACUUCUUGCUGACUCUAUCCUUUCUGAGGACGGUUGGCUAUGAAGCGGCCUACCAAGGUUUUUUAUCAAACACAUUUAAUUCAUCUGACCUAAACUAUUAUAAUUAAAUCAUAACUUUCAACAACGGAUCUCUUGGCUCUC